This is a long non-coding RNA of Oncorhynchus gorbuscha (pink salmon), 2496 nucleotides long. RefSeq lists it as uncharacterized. The record is from RefSeq and is a predicted model, not a curated record. NCBI's taxonomy places the organism in Eukaryota, Metazoa, Chordata, Actinopteri, Salmoniformes, Salmonidae. The transcript has 6 exons.
GCUUCAUUACAUGUAGUAUAAUGAACACAAGUAGCUUCUAAGGUGUGGUCCUAUAGGACAUACUCUCUAUCUUACCGGACAAUACAGACUCUCUAGUUCCUUGCCAGCUCACCUAACUGUCCCUUUUGCAGUUCUACAUGGUGAUGUGUGUCAUCUAUGUGUUGCUGGGCCUGCGCUGUGGCCUUGGCUGUCAGUCUGCUACUGGAGAGAGCUGCUCGGGAUCCAGACCUAGAUCGGCGGGGUCAUCUUCCUGGGCAUGCUGGAGAAGGCCGUGUACUAUGCCGAGUUCCAGAGCAUCCGCUAUGACGGCCUCUCCGCUCAGGAGGGGGAGAGACAAGAACCUUACAGAAAAGCCACUUGAUUUCACUUAUGAAAUUUCACCUGAAAUUCACGUGAUCACUUGAGAAACACGUUUUUGUCUGUAAUUGGUCUUUUAAGGAAAUCAACAUGGGGUUUAAGUGGUCAUAUUUGGUGGACACCCCUAAACACACAUUUUCAGCCAAUUUUGUUUUUCUACCUAAAUCUUCCUGGUGGGCAAGGUUGGAAUUGGGUAAAAGAUAGUUGCUCCUAGUGUGGUGCUAAAUGUGCAGUUGUACUCCAUUUUAAUCAUCUUUAUAUGUGUGCUGUGUCCUCCAACAGUCCAGGGGGCAGUAGUGUUUGUGGAGAUCCUUUCAGCAGUGCGGACCCUGGCCCGUGUGCUCGUCAUCAUCGCUAGUCUUGGUUAUGGAAUUGUCAAGGGAGUCAGUCCCUUCAUAAGAGGUCACAUUGUUAAGACAGUGGAGAGUUUUAAACUCUAUUUCCAAUUCUGUCCCUCUCUGUCUCUGUCUCUCUGACUCUGUCUGUCUGUCGCUCUCUCUCUCUCUGCCUGCCUGUCUCUCUCUCUCUCUCUGCCUGCCUGUCUCUCUCUCUCCGUAGGCCAAGGCUCAGUGCAUUGAUAUACAGGGUGGUUGGGGUGGGACUGCUCAUUUUAGUUUUAUUUUUACCUUUAUUUUGACCUUAUAUUCUCCGUUGUCGAGGGAAUCCUGAGGGUCAAUUCGGGUAAGUCUGGUCUCUGUCCUCUCCUUUCUGAUCAAUAUACUACCUCGAUAUUCCUCCAAAAUAUAUUGUCCACCUAACAAGACUAUUAAAACAUUUUGAUACGUUUUUGAUACGGAACUAAACUAAACAAUGCCAUGAUGCUCUUUGUAGAAUAUCUUCAUCUUUGGCCAAAGGAUGCCAGGAAUCUUGUGUGUGUGUAGUAGUACCGUCAUUCCACUGUCAGUGUUUGCCUGUCUUUCUCACAGGGUCAGGGGGCAGUAGCAGACUACUGUGUGACAUUAUUCUGGCGUUCACUGACUCGUGCGUUGUGUGGUGGAUAUCCUUUUGGAGUGGUCAGACAUUAGAGGCCAUCAGUCUGCCUGUCUGUCAGUCAGCGUGUUAAUCUAGUUGUCACUGUAUGCAGUUAGUCUGUCAGUAUUAAGAACUAUUUUAUUUUUCUCCCUCCUGGGCAUGUUUGUCUUGAGCUGAUCUCCUCAUCCCUUUUACCAGUGUCUCUCAUAACUUCUCCAACAAGUUUGAUUCCAACCCUCUUUGAGUGGCAGUUUGGUUCUAACCCUCUUUGAGUGGCAGUUUGGUUAUACACGGGUCCUCUUGGUGUGUAUCUGUCUAUCAACAUGGCUGCCUGAAGAGUAUGUGAUAAUUUCCCCUCACUCCCUCUGUCACUCCCUCUGUCACUCCCUCCCUUUCUCCUUGCCCCUCUGUGCUUGUAUCCGUUCCCCUUCCUCUCUGUCCCUUUCAGGCUGAAGCUGAUCUGGUGCCGCUUGCUGCCAUUCCGUUGGCUGUGCUCGACUCUACCCUCUGCUGGUGGAUAUCCUGACUGGAGGGAGCUGUGGAUAGACUGCUUCCUGGCGGUUCCUCUUCCCCACCAUCCUUCAGGUCAUCAUGUUUCUGUGGAGGCCGUCUGCCAACAACCAGAGAUACACCUUCAGCCCCCUAGUGGACGAGGAGCGUGACGACGAGGCAAAGGAACAGCUGAUGAAUGAUACAUUUGUGUACUUCCAGAGGGCGUGAAGACGAGGGGUCUGAAGUCCAAGACAUGUGGAACAGCCAAGCCGAACAAAGUGGAUGAGGAUCUGAAAUGGGUGGAAGAGAAUAUCCCAACUUCAAUGGCAGAUGUGGGACCAUGACUAGCAAUUUUGAGAUGUCUAAAAUGGAAUAGACAGAGGGAGACGAUGUGCACUGCAGACAGAGACCGUGCGUUGGACAACCCUAUGUCUGUAUAUGAAGGAUAUUAUCCCGUAUGAGCUUUGUAAGCAGCGGUUGUAAAUACGAUGGGAUAAACUAUGACGUAAUGAGCUCACUAUUUUAAUUUUAUUUUUGAAUGCCUGCUUAUUUAUAUUUUUGUGGGUAUCUGGUUUCUUUUUUUUUAGAUUCUUUACUACAAAUUGUAUCUUGCCUUUCACUGUUUACAUAGGUAAUGUGCGGGAAUGUGAUUAAAUGUGUUUUUCUUGUCCAGUA